Molecule: RNA transcript, 1151 nt
Organism: Drosophila rhopaloa
Lineage: Eukaryota; Metazoa; Arthropoda; Insecta; Diptera; Drosophilidae
Gene: PIG-C
Gene name: phosphatidylinositol N-acetylglucosaminyltransferase subunit C
Exons: 3
Source: RefSeq, a predicted model, not a curated record
CUGGCCCAUUAGCCAAUGUAAACAAACAAAUUUUAUUCGAAUUAAAAAAUGGUAAAAAAGGCGCAAUCAAAACGGCAGCCGUGGGUAAAGAAUCUUUACUCAAACCGAGAAUAUCCAGACAACUAUACGGACGCCAGCUUCCUGAAGGAUUUGCGCACAAACCUGCAUGUCAGGAUAUACACAUUCAGUGAGGCGAUUGCCGGCAUCACGGUGCUGAAUAACCAGAUUUCCUGCAUUACCGGCUUUCUGAUACUCUAUCAACUGAUGCUCAGCGAUAGAGUUUCGCCCACCACGAUCCUGGUGCCCAGUUGCGGUGUUACGGGGAUUGGUUACCUGUGCUACCGGGGCAGGAGUCUCAGCUGGGCGCUCCUGGGAGAGGACUCCAAAACCUUGGUCACAGUGGUGCUCUUUGGAUACCUAUUCUCACCAAUGCUGCACACCCUAACCCAGGCCAUCAGCACGGACACCAUCUACACGAUGACUUUCUUUGUCCUGCUCGGAAAUCUAAUAUUCAGUCACUACGGAUUGGACGUGGCCAUGGUCUCCAAGGCCAUCUCACUCAAUGCUGCGAUAUUUGGAGCCAUUUGUCUGGCCUCCAGACUGCCGACUUCGUAUCAUGCCUUCGUACUCCUCGUCGAGGCCGCCGUCUUCUUUGUGCUGUAUCCCAUAAUGACUGAGGCGAACUGGAGGGCUGGAUUCAUGGUGCCCAUCUUUGCCAUUUGCUGUCUAGCCCUGUACUGGAUAUCGCGCCCUGUGCUCUAUCUCUACGCCUCCACCACCGUCUUCAUCAACUUCGUGUGCCCCUUCAUUUUCGUGUGGCAGCAGCAGUACAAGUUCAACAUCCACGGGCCUUGGGACGAGGCCAUCGUGGAGGAGAACACCGACGAGAACCUGGACAAUAACUUAUAGCGGCAGCUCCGCUUCUCAGAACAGCUGCCGCCACGACCAGGUGGCGGCGAUGUCGGGGAGCACUUCACCAAUCACUAACCAUUCGCACGAUUUUUUGUUUUUAACUUUGUUAACUCAUUCCAAGCUUUUGUCAAUGUUGAUCUUUUUAUCAUGUUAUGUCUUUUUAGGUUGUAUUAAAUCGAAGGAUUUCAUGUUAAAUAAUCAAAAACCCUUGGGUACAUAUCUUACAUUAUAGAUUUAUU